Molecule: ribosomal RNA, 251 nt
Filed under: uncultured bacterium
Lineage: Bacteria
Description: partial 16S ribosomal RNA
Rfam family: Bacterial small subunit ribosomal RNA
Source: RNAcentral
CAACCAAGCUGGCGACCGGCGCACGGGUGAGUAACACGUAUCCAACCUGCCUCAUACUCGGGGAUAGCCUUUCGAAAGAAAGAUUAAUAUCCGAUAGCAUAUAUUUCCCGCAUGGGUUUAUAUUAAAGAAAUUCGGUAUGAGAUGGGGAUGCGUUCCAUUAGUUUGUUGGGGGGUAACGGCCCACCAAGACUACGAUGGAUAGGGGUUCUGAGAGGAAGGUCCCCCACAUUGGAACUGAGACACGGUCCAA